CGACGGUGAGUACACGUAUCCAACCUGCCGUCUACUCUUGGACAGCCUUCUGAAAGGAAGAUUAAUACAAGAUGGCAUCAUGAGUCCGCAUGUUCACAUGAUUAAAGGUAUUCCGGUAGACGAUGGGGAUGCGUUCCAUUAGAUAGUAGGCGGGGUAACGGCCCACCUAGUCUUUGAUGGAUAGGGGUUCUGAGAGGAAGGUCCCCCACAUUGGAACUGAGACACGGUCCAA
Molecule: ribosomal RNA, 232 nt
Filed under: uncultured bacterium
Lineage: Bacteria
Description: partial 16S ribosomal RNA
Rfam family: Bacterial small subunit ribosomal RNA
Source: RNAcentral